RNAcentral lists this ribosomal RNA (393 nucleotides) under uncultured bacterium. RNAcentral's name for it is "bacterial SSU rRNA". It matches the Rfam family "Bacterial small subunit ribosomal RNA", at positions 30 to 417 of the family's 1533-position model. The record is from RNAcentral.
AGUGAACGCUGGCGGCAGGCCUAACACAUGCAAGUCGAACGGCAGCACGGCAGUAGCAAUACUGUGGGUGGCGAGUGGCGGACGGGUGAGGAAUACAUCGGGAUCUACCCUGUUGUGGGGGAUAACGUAGGGAAACUUACGCUAAUACCGCAUAAGAACUGAGGUUGAAAGCGGCGGACCGCAAGGCGUCGCGCGAUUGGAUGAACCGAUGUCCGAUUAGUUAGUUGGCGGGGUAAAGGCCCACCAAGGCGACGAUCGGUAGCUGGUCUGAGAGGACGACCAGCCACACUGGAACUGAGACACGGUCCAGACUCCUACGGGAGGCAGCAGUGGGGAAUAUUGGACAAUGGGCGCAAGCCUGAUCCAGCCAUGCCGCGUGGGUGAAGAAGGCCU